GGCGCAUUAGCUAGUUGGUGAGGUAACGGCUCACCAAGGCGACGAUGCGUAGCCGACCUGAGAGGGUGAUCGGCCACACUGGGACUGAGACACGGCCCAGACUCCUACGGGAGGCAGCAGUAGGGAAUCUUCCGCAAUGGACGAAAGUCUGACGGAGCAACGCCGCGUGAGUGAUGAAGGUUUUCGGAUCGUAAAGCUCUGUUGUUAGGGAAGAACAAGUGCCGUUCAAAUAGGGCGGCACCUUGACGGUACCUAACCAGAAAGCCACGGCUAACUACGUGCCAGCAGCCGCGGUAAUACGUAGGUGGCAAGCGUUGUCCGGAAUUAUUGGGCGUAAAGGGCUCGCAGGCGGUUUCUUAAGUCUGAUGUGAAAGCCCCCGGCUCAACCGGGGAGGGUCAUUGGAAACUGGGGAACUUGAGUGCAGAAGAGGAGAGUGGAAUUCCACGUGUAGCGGUGAAAUGCGUAGAGAUGUGGAGGAACACCAGUGGCGAAGGCGACUCUCUGGUCUGUAACUGACGCUGAGGAGCGAAAGCGUGGGGAGCGAACAGGAUUAGAUACCCUGGUAGUCCACGCCGUAAACGAUGAGUGCUAAGUGUUAGGGGGUUUCCGCCCCUUAGUGCUGCAGCUAACGCAUUAAGCACUCCGCCUGGGGAGUACGGUCGCAAGACUGAAACUCAAAGGAAUUGACGGGGGCCCGCACAACUCUCCUCUUC
RNAcentral lists this ribosomal RNA (714 nucleotides) under Bacillus amyloliquefaciens. Its description in RNAcentral is "bacterial SSU rRNA". It matches the Rfam family "Bacterial small subunit ribosomal RNA", at positions 235 to 939 of the family's 1533-position model. The record is from RNAcentral. Lineage: Bacteria; Bacillati; Bacillota; Bacilli; Caryophanales; Bacillaceae.